CCUACGGGAGGCAGCAGUGAGGAAUAUUGGUCAAUGGGCUUACGCCUGAACCAGCCAAGUCGCGUGAGGGAAGACUGCCCUAUGGGUUGUAAACCUCUUUUGUCAGGGAGCAACGCCGGCUACGUGUAGCCGGACUGAGAGUACCUGAAGAAAAAGCAUCGGCUAACUCCGUGCCAGCAGCCGCGGUAAUACGGGGGAUGCGAGCGUUAUCCGGAUUUAUGGGGUUAAAGGGGUGCGUAGGCGGAAUGCCAAGUCAGCGGUAAAAUCGCGGGGCUCAACCUCGCUCCGCCGUUGAAACUGGCGUUCUUGAGUGGACGAGAAGUAUGCGGAAUGCGUGGUGUAGCGGUGAAAUGCAUAGAUAUCACGCAGAACUCCGAUUGCGAAGGCAGCAUACCGGCGCCCAACUGACGCUGAAGCACGAAAGCGUGGGUAUCGAACAGGAUUAGAUACCCCAGUAGUC
This 460-nucleotide ribosomal RNA is filed under the name uncultured bacterium. RNAcentral describes it as "partial 16S ribosomal RNA". It matches the Rfam family "Bacterial small subunit ribosomal RNA", at positions 338 to 795 of the family's 1533-position model. The record is from RNAcentral.